CCUACGGGUGGCAGCAGUAGGGAAUAUUGCUCAAUGGGGGAAACCCUGAAGCAGCGACGCCGCGUGAGGGAUGAAGGUUCUCGGUUUGUAAACCCCUUUUUGUAGGGAAGAAAAUGACGGUACCUGACUAAUAAGCACCGGCUAACUACGUGCCAGCAGCCGCGGUAAUACGGCGGGUGCAAGCGUUAUCCGGAAGCACUGGGUGUAAAGGGAGCGUAGGCGGGAUAGCAAGACAGGUGUGAAAUCCUGGGGCUUAACCCUAGAACUGAUUUUGAAACUGUUAUGCUAGAGUUGGGGAGGGGUAGGUGGAAUUCGUAGUGUAGCGGUGAAAUGCGUAGAGAUUAGGAGGAACACUGAUUGCGAAGGCGGCAUACUGGACCAUAACUGACGCUGAGGCGCGAAAGCGUGGGGAGCAAACAGGAUUAGAUACCCGAGUAGUC
Molecule: ribosomal RNA, 440 nt
Filed under: uncultured bacterium
Lineage: Bacteria
Description: partial 16S ribosomal RNA
Rfam family: Bacterial small subunit ribosomal RNA
Source: RNAcentral